RNAcentral lists this ribosomal RNA (490 nucleotides) under uncultured bacterium. RNAcentral's name for it is "partial 16S ribosomal RNA". It matches the Rfam family "Bacterial small subunit ribosomal RNA", at positions 30 to 507 of the family's 1533-position model. The record is from RNAcentral.
AUUGAACGCUGGCGGCAGGCCUAACACAUGCAAGUCGAACGGUAACAGGAAGCAGCUUGCUGCUUUGCUGACGAGUGGCGGACGGGUGAGUAAUGUCUGGGAAACUGCCCGAUGGAGGGGGAUAACUACUGGAAACGGUAGCUAAUACCGCAUAACGUCGCAAGACCAAAGAGGGGGACCUUAGGGCCUCUUGCCAUCGGAUGUGCCCAGAUGGGAUUAGCUAGUAGGUGGGGUAACGGCUCACCUAGGCGACGAUCCCUAGCUAGUCUGAGAGGAUGACCAGCCACACUGGAACUGAGACACGGUCCAGACUCCUACGGGAGGCAGCAGUGGGGAAUAUUGCACAAUGGGCGCAAGCCUGAUGCAGCCAUGCCGCGUGUAUGAAGAAGGCCUUCGGGUUGUAAAGUACUUUCAGCGGGGAGGAAGGGAGUAAAGUUAAUACCUUUGCUCAUUGACGUUACCCGCAGAAGAAGCACCGGCUAACUCCGUG